RNAcentral lists this ribosomal RNA (473 nucleotides) under uncultured bacterium. Its description in RNAcentral is "bacterial SSU rRNA". It matches the Rfam family "Bacterial small subunit ribosomal RNA", at positions 355 to 825 of the family's 1533-position model. The record is from RNAcentral.
UGGGGAAUUGUUCACAAUGGGCGCAAGCCUGAUGACGCAACGCCGCGUGGGGGAUGAAGGUCUUCGGAUCGUAAACCCCUGUCGAAUGGGACGAAAGACUCGCGAGUGAAUACUUCGCGAGAGUGACGGUACCGUUAAAGGAAGCCACGGCUAACUCUGUGCCAGCAGCCGCGGUAAUACAGAGGUGGCAAGCGUUGUUCGGAAUUACUGGGCGUAAAGGGCGCGUAGGCGGCCCUCUAAGUCAGACGUGAAAUCCCCCGGCUUAACCUGGGAACUGCGUCUGAUACUGGAGGGCUUGAGUAUGGGANAGGGAUGUAGAAUUCCAGGUGUAGCGGUGAAAUGCGUAGAUAUCUGGAGGAAUACCGGUGGCGAAGGCGGCAUCCUGGACCAUUACUGACGCUGAGGCGCGAAAGCUAGGGGAGCAAACGGGAUUAGAUACCCCUGUAGUCCCUGAGCGGGCUGGCAAGGCGCAU